AUGAGUUGCUUGAGCUAGAACUGCCAGGGGCUUGGGAACGCCGGGGCAGUUCGCGAGCUUCGCAAUAUUGUGAAGCAAGAAGGGCCCGACCUCCUGUUUUUUAUGGAGACGAAGAUUUCAGCGACACUAGUUGAAAGCCUACAGAACUUGCUUGGUUUCUCGGGCUGCUUCGCGGUAAGCAGUAGGGGACUGAGCGGUGGCAUUGGUAUGUUCUGGACCUCAAGUCUGGACAUGGAACUGAAAAACUAG
This 249-nucleotide ribosomal RNA is filed under the name Triticum aestivum (bread wheat). Its description in RNAcentral is "partial small subunit ribosomal RNA". Lineage: Eukaryota; Viridiplantae; Streptophyta; Magnoliopsida; Poales; Poaceae. The record is from RNAcentral.